CCGCCGGACCGGCGUGUGUGCGUUAAGCCUCUUUAUUGCUUUCUUCCUCCAUUCGAUCGCUUCCCGAUCUCGUCGCCAUUUUCCUCGGAGUGAAACGAUCGAUCCGAAAAGUUGGUGUAGGUGACGAGGAGGAGAUUGAGACUGGAGAUUGAUGGAGGUGGAGCCGCCGGGGCCGCUGCGGUAUCUGAUUGGGGCGGCGAUCAUGAUGGUCGGCGUGGUACUUCCGCUCGGGUACAUGAUGUUCCGCAUCAAGCGCGUCCCCUCGUCCGCCUCGACCUACUCCAAACAGACGUAGGUCUAAAGGGCUGAUCUAGGGAUCGUUCACAGCUCCUCUGCUGCCAUCUCUUUACGGUGGUGGAGAAAUUACUGGAGGGUACACCGUUAAUGAUUUUUGAUAUAUCUUUUUUCUUGGGCCGUGUAUUUAAAAGCUUUAGUUUAGCUUGUAUUUGAUUUUGGUUAUAGGAAUUGCUUCUGUGGAAAGUCUGCUCAUCAUGUGCCUGGUUCCAUUGGCUACAAUUGUCAUUAUUAAAAUGUUUGCUUGUUACUUGCUUUGGUUCGAGCAAUAAUUAA
Musa acuminata subsp. malaccensis (wild Malaysian banana) is the source of this 570-nucleotide non-coding RNA. The record is from RefSeq and is a predicted model, not a curated record. NCBI's taxonomy places the organism in Eukaryota, Viridiplantae, Streptophyta, Magnoliopsida, Zingiberales, Musaceae.